This 27-nucleotide non-coding RNA is filed under the name Homo sapiens (human). The record is from RNAcentral. Lineage: Eukaryota; Metazoa; Chordata; Mammalia; Primates; Hominidae.
UCACGAUGUUUCUGGUAGCUUUUGCCC